This is a long non-coding RNA of Acipenser ruthenus (sterlet), 1954 nucleotides long. RefSeq lists it as uncharacterized. NCBI's taxonomy places the organism in Eukaryota, Metazoa, Chordata, Actinopteri, Acipenseriformes, Acipenseridae. The transcript has 3 exons. The record is from RefSeq and is a predicted model, not a curated record.
CUUGGAGCAGCUACAUUGUAUAAAAGGAGAGCUCAGGCUCCAUUAGGAGAGACUACCAGGGAGCUGGAACCAAAGAGGAAAGGCACUCUCUAAUCCUGAAUCCAGUCAAGCUGGAGCUGCAGAGGUUGGUGAAAACUUGCCAGAGCCAAAAAACAAAAAAACAGCACAGGAACCUGUUUUAAAGGGGAGAAGGGAUUGCUCUGAUGCACUGUUCUUGGAGCAAGGAUCUAUGAAACUCUUUGUAAACUGUAUGGAUUGUUGGCUGGGCACCCUAUUGGAUCUGAGGAUGGUGAGCUAUGAAAGGAAUUGAACGUGCUGUCACUGACUGACCAGUGAGCCAGUUCAUUAACAAUCCACUGCUAUUGUGCUGAACACUGAGGAGAAGCGGAGUUAUACUGAAAAGGAGUCAGUUCAGUACUGAUAUGAAAGUGUCCAAAUGGGUACAACCUGAUAAAGCCAUACACAGUAUUUUAUCAGGCAACAAUGUUUUAAAGCAGAAUAACAACCUUAAACCAGGUUAAAUUAAUGGGGAAAAAAACCUCCAAGCGAGAAGGUACCUGGCAGUUCACACUCCAUAUUUACACGUGCUCAUUUAUUAUUUGUUUAUUUAGCAGACGCCUUUAUCCAAAGCGACUUACAGAGACUAGGGUAUGUGAACUAUGCAUCAGCUGCAGAGUCACUUACAACCACCUCUCACCCGAAAGACGGAGCACAAGGAGGUUAAGCGAUUUGCUCAGGGUCACAUAAUCUAUUGUGUCAUGACAUAUUUCAAACCCACACUGAUACUCCUCCUUUAGAACCGUGAGUAUAGCACUGGAAAGUUCGGAUUUCAGAGAUUCUGAUGCUAAUUCAGUAGUGAUGGGCAGGUAUAAUGGUAUGAGUGUGAGGAAAGAGAACCCUGGUAUAAUGUAACCUGCUUGACACAAGAUACAGCAUUUCUAGCAAGCUAUGAAUUUGUUUUCUGACAAUCUGUGUCUCCAGAACAGGUUUGUAAGCACCCCCUUAAUUAGUCUAUUUCCCCUCAUUUCUCUUUUCUCUGUAAUUAUACGUCUAAUUAGAAUUAUUUUUUAAUUAGUUGCAUUCUUGGCAUCUUGCUUUUGUGGUUACAAUGUAGUGUAAUAUAUCUCCGCCGACAAACUAGUUUCACGAACGCAGCUGGUGAAAACAGAAAACAACACUCAUUUUAUCAGAUCCACAUUUAAAGGUUAAGAUUCGAAUCUCCUUGGUUUUGCUUCACUGUCACUUUUCCCACUGAGUUCAAGUGGACACCUGCAGGGAUGGCCUUUGUCCUCCAGGGGCUCGAAGUUUGCCGGCAGCCUCUCCCGGGCUCCUGGGUGUAAAAGAGUCGAUCAACUUGAUCAUGGGAUCGGAGGAAAUCCAUUGACCUUCACUUCUCCUCAGCUGUUUUGGUGCCCACUAAAAUAAAAAGCAAAAUGAAUAAAUAAAAAGGAAGGGGUAUGAGCACUCGUGUUUUUCAUAUAUUUUGGCGACGCAAAAUCAUCUAUUUAGUGAGAAGCUUGCUUUGAAACGCAGCGAUUUUCUGGGCUGCCUGUUUUAUUUUUUUAAAGAGAAGUCUGUGCCAUUUGAAUGGGAAGAUUUAAAAUGGGCUAAACUGGAGAAUCUCAGGUGCUAAGUGAGAGGAUUGCUCUUUGGUAGUGCUUGAGGUUUGUAUUUGAGAUUAUUUAAAAACAUAUCAUGCAAGCUUCAAUACUAUUCUUAAUCUUAACUCCUUAGUUUGUAAUUGCCCAUGGACAUGCAAUACAUUUCAAAGCAGCUUGAAGCAAAACUUGUCCAGGAUUUGGUUUAUGUUGAGAAUGCUUGGGCAAUGCCUGGCUUGUACAGCUAAUUGGUGGUAAUAAUACAAUGCCACAAAUGUUUGAUUCAUAAUUAUAUUUGUAUAAAUUUGUAUAUAUCUACGUAUUGUUUCCCAGGUCCCUCAUGCAAACAAGCGGUC